Long non-coding RNA from Gallus gallus (chicken), 9114 nucleotides. RefSeq lists it as uncharacterized. The record is from RefSeq and is a predicted model, not a curated record. NCBI's taxonomy places the organism in Eukaryota, Metazoa, Chordata, Aves, Galliformes, Phasianidae. The transcript is spliced from 2 exons.
GCGCGGGCGCGGAGCAGUGCGCGGCGGCGCGGAGCGGAGGGGUUCGGGGGGUCCCGGGGCGCGGAGCGGAGCGGAGCGGUGCGGAGCCCCCAAAGCGCGGCACGGGGCGAGAGCUGCGAGAAGCGCCGCCGCCUUUUCUUUUUCCGUAACAAGAGAUGGUUUUUUUAUUGUUGUUUUCUCGCUUUUCGGGGGCCGCUUUCGCAUUGAGCGAGUCGCCCUCCCCCCUAAGACCGAAGCCAGCAUCCUGCUGCAUGGCACCGGAUUUUACAUUUCUCAUUCUUUUUCCUUAUUUUUUCCCUUAUUUUUCCCUCCAUCGCUUCUUUUCUAUUCGCUCAUUUGCGGUCACCCAUCCAUCUGCUCGUGGGAUUUGCUUUGGGAGAACGGAGCUUUUUCCAUCCCGACUCCCCCGUGCGCUCCCGACCCCUUUUUUCUCCCCUUUCAAAACCAUUUUUCUGAUCUUUUAUAUAUCUUUAUAUAUUCCUUUUUUUUCCUUUUUUUUCCUUUUUUUUUCUUUUUUCUUUUUUCUUUUUUUCUUUUUUUUGGCUUUGCUCUCAGUACCGGAAUCCUUCAGGAGAAAGAAAAAGGAGGAAAAAAAAAAAAAAGAAAAAAAAAGAAAAAAAAAAAGACGGUGACAAUUUUUUUUUUUCUUUUUUUAAUGCAUUUUUUUUCCCUUCCCAGGACUCUCUCGCGUUCUUUGUAGCCGUUGUGGUUAUUAUUGCAAAAAGCGGCCCCGUAAGUGUGCACCCGGCGGGGCUCCGCCGGCACGGGGACACGGAGCGGUGCUGCGGUGGGGGGCCGUGGGGGGGCCGUGCAGUUUGCGCUGCUCUUUGCAGCCGGGUUCGUGGGGGGAGGGAUGGGGCCGGCGGCCAAGCGUUGCUCGGGUAUGGAAAUGUAUGGCCCUGGCUGAAAAUACGGCGCACUGAUUGAUGCCCCGUCCCUGAGCCGUGUGCGUUUAUUUAUUCGCACCGGGCCUGCGGCGGGGCUGCGCUGCGAGGCCGCCGGUUGCUCUUCCCCGACGGUUUUCCUGCUGGGGACCCGGGGCCGUGGCAAUGGACAGAAAGAAAUGUGUCGACGAGCGCAACCGGCGCGGCUCCCGCUGCGGCUCGCUCCGCUCCGCGGGCGCUCGGAGCCAUCAGCGCGGGGCUCUGGACGGGUCUCGGAGCCGAAAUGCUCGGGGCUGCGAAGGAGGGGGACGGAGAGCUAUCCCUUAGCCCGGCGGGGGGAUGGCACGGUGCUACCGAUCGCCCCGAGGCCGGCUUUCCCGGAGCCGGAGCUGCCCCCGGUGCCACGGACCCAUCCCGUCGGCUGCCCUCAGUGCUUUCCUUCAUUCCAUUUUUUUUCUCCCCCUAUUUUCUUUGUUUUUAAUUUGUAUUCAAUUUGUUUUACAGCAAGGAAAUUAAAAAAGCGGAGGGGGUUGAGAAACAAAACAGAACAAAACAAGCCCUUUGCUGUUUGUCGUUCUCCUGCAGCGCGACGCUUUCGCUUUGCCGGGCCGGGGCUGCGCCGGUCCGUUCCGGGGCCGCUCCGGGGUGGGCUCAGUGCGCGCCCGGUCCCGGAAUGUCCCCUGCGUGGGGUCAGCCAGCAGCAGCCCCGCUGGGCCCAGAGCUCGGCCUGGCUUCAUUCGUGGGUUGCUUUCUUUAUUUUUGGCGUUUCUCCUCCAAUUUAAUGCCUUCUCGUCCUCCACCCGUGGGGAGGACGAGGACACCUCCUGCCGUGCUGCGUCCCGGUGCCUCUCCAGAGCCACAAAAGCAGCAGCGGUGGCUUUGGGGUGUGAGGAGACGUGCAUCUCCUUGGGACCCCCCCCCUCCCUGCUCCUGUCGGUGCUGAGCAGGCGAGGCCUCGUCGCCUUUGGCCCUCUGCUGUGCCUGCUUGGCUUAAAGGGAUGAUCACUUUGCACUUGGUGGCAGCCUCAUGAAUGGGAGGUGACAUUGAGGGGGCAGUGGUUGGUGGGGUACUCCCUGCCCUAAUCCUGCACCAGGGGUUGUGGCCCCGAUGAUGCAGGGAUGGGGCCGUCAUGGGGGCUGCGCUCGGUCCCCGUGGUGCUGCAGGUGCCUCUGCCGCAGGGGAUGGGGCUAUGGGACACCUCCUGCCCCAGCUCUGCGUUGGGGACUUCAGAGCUGGAGGUGGGUGAGGGGCUGUGGGGCCUUCACCCCAUAGCGAUGGAUUUGGAGCAUCCCAGAGGCCUCUUCCCAGGUGAGCUGCACUCCUGGAAGAAGUGCCUCAUCCUUCGCUAAAUAAACGGAGCCCCCGUAGGAUUUUUUGUUCCGAAAUUAACUCCUUAAUUAACUCCUUCAGGCCGCAAGCCUUCCUCGGCCAUGUACAGAAAGAACAAAACAAGUCCAGGAGAGGGACACAGCCUCAGAGCCACCACCAGUCCCAGCCUGGGGAUGGCUGCACGCACGGGGCCGUGUGUGCGCAUUCCCUGCCUCCAUGGGGCUAUCUUGUUUGCUAAUCUAACCUACUUUUGUUUUUAAUUCUUUUCUUUCUUUCUUUCUUUUUUUUUUUUUUGGUCAGAGGUCGGUGCUGUGCAGGGACCUGUUCUGCUCUCGGUGCAAUCUCAGAGCUUUUAGUGGGUGUCUGAUUUCUGUAGCGCGCUUCGGUUUCCAGUAUGAAUGUCACGCACGAAGAAUACCAUGACAGUGCUCGAGGUGCACGCGAUCUUAUCUACCUGACAUUUCAGGCUUUUUUAACCGUCCGUUCACCCAAUUUGCAUAGCAAUCACAUGGGCUGCUUCUCCCCUUUACCCCUCCCACCCCCCCCUUUUUUUUUCAUGUAUCAUCAUAACAAACUGCUUGCGUUUGGCCUCUGACAGCAUCAGUGCAAGCGUUGCUCAGAGCUCCCUCUCCCCUCUGAUGGUGUCUGGGGGGGUUCAGUGCUGCGCAGGGACAGCACUCCCAUCCCACUGACUGCUGGGGCACUGUGCUGAGUUUCACUUCCAAGCAAAGCACACCACCGUGCGUGCAUCCCAUCUGCUUCUCCUUAAUUGCCACGGGUGAGACUUAUUUAUACUGAUAAAGAGACUCCCACAGCACAGUCCCAGCUCCCUGCAGCCCCUCUGCCCGCACUCAGGACAACGCAGGGCUGCAAUUAACACAAGCCCUGCUCAGCUCUCGGCCAUGUGCCGGCUGCAGCCCUUGCACGGAACAAAAUGUUUCCCUUGGUGUCGGGGGAGGCAUUGGCUCUAGCAGGGGAGCGUGUGAAUGGCAGGGAGUGGGGCAUCGUGGGGUGCAUUGUGGCUCUUUUUUUUGUUGUUUUCUUCUUUUUUUUUUUUAUUGUUGUGUUUUGAUUUAAUUGGAGCAUUUGCGAUCUGGCUUGGUUCUACUGCAAGCAAAGGGCUGGAAGUGGAAAAGCUGGAAUGUGGCUGUUCCAGCACACCCCAGGCACACCUGAGCUGUAUCUCCUGCCCAACCCCGUGCUCCUGCCACCACCCCUACUGCCCCCAGCCUCAUUUCAUUGACCCCAUCACACACCAUGCAGAACGCUCAGUGCUCAGUGCUGGGCCUGCAGCAGGAAGGAGGGCACUAUGGAGGGACAGUGGGAUGGAGGGAUGGGCAGCAGUGGGGGUGUCCCGCGGUGCCCCCUGGCUAUGUGCGAUAGCAUCACUGCCUGAGAGCUGCUGCUGAUGUGCCGCGUGCUCCGACUGGAGCAAUAAGCAUUACUCGGAUGGAUUUCCUGCAAAAAGCCCUUCCUGAUCUUCCUGGUCCCACUGUACUCGGAUUAAGACCCAGGAUAUAUCCCUGUGCAGUUGCCCAAAUUAUUGGUCUAUCUCUCCGUGCCCUGAGACAGUGCAAACUUGCUGUCAGAAAUGACCUACGUCGCUCGCUGCCUGCCCCAUCUUGCUGGCACUGGGGACGAGGCCCUGCAAGCAUCUCUCCCACAGGGAGAGAGGGGGUAUGCAGCGCAGCACAGCACCCACGGCUCUGCCCCACUGUGAUUUCAGUGGGGUUGGAUGGAAGCAGCCCCGAUCUCACCAGGCUCCCAGCCAGGGGAUCCCCAUCCGUUUUUAACCAGCUACAGACCGGAGUCUGACAUCACCUCGAUGGGGCUGUGCGGGUCCAGAGCCUUUGUGCGCCCAGUGGUGGCACCCCCACGUUCCCAUCCCACCCUAUGUCCCCACCAUACUCAUUCACCCAAUUUACCCCACCUUUUGCCAUUGUGGAACCUUUGGAAAUCUUCAGUGCUGGGACGCCGACUGCUCCUGGUGCUGCAGAUCCAACAGCUAUCAGCUGUUGAGGUUCGAACCCUUCCCUAACCCCACAGAUACCUCCUCAUUUGCUCAGGGUUACCUAAUACAAAAAAGGUUGAUCUGAGGAAAAAAAAAAAAAAAAAAGAGAGAGAAUAAAGGCUGUGGUUGGUUAACAGCAUUAUUUCUUUCUCGUUCAAGAAACUCUCGGAUCCCCAGUAUCAAAAAGCAGAAGACUUGGGAAAAAGGGUGCCCUGAAGUUGUGCAGGGAGUGUGAGUGGGAACCGAAGAGGGGAAUUGGGGUUGAUUGUCUGCCUGCAGGCUGCCGUGUGCAGGCCGGGCUCAGGGCUGUUGCAGCUCCUCGCACCUCUCAGCCCAUCGGGUGCUGCGGGAAUCCCAAUUUCUCUCUCCCAAUAAAGCACGGGCGUCACUUUUAUACCCUGCACGUUUUCCUGCGGUGAGGUGCUUUGAUUUAAACACCGAGGAUAUGGGGGCCGGGUGGGAGAGCCUCCAGAAGUGAUGGUGAAAGCGGCCGUUAUUCGUCCUGCUGCCUCCCGAAAUCUCUAUUCCUCCUCACCAUCCCUCCAAGCCCGGCUGGCAAUAGCACGCUGCCUCUGACAGGAGCUCAAUUCAAUGCACUGCCAACAAAAUAUGGUAUCUUUUUUUUCUUCAUCCCAGUAGUGAGAGCGUUAAAUAAUAGAUCUCGGGCUUUAUAGGCUGCAUUUAGGUAUGACUACGAAUAGCUACAAUAAAAAGCAGCAGAAUAUUCAUGUGAAGGGGGGGGGGUCGGUCUGAUAAUUUUUUUCUCCUCGUCCUUUCUUAUUUUUUUCUUUUCUUUUUUUUUUUUUUCCCUAUUUAAGUUUCAGUUUUAGGGCUGAAGAAGAAUCAGAUUUUCUCAUUCCUUUUCUGUUGCCGUCGGACGCCGAGAAUAAUCUCGGCUAUUUUCUGAGACCGACAUUCCUAUGGGACUUCUCCUUGUUUUCAAUAAUUAAAUAUUAAAGGAGUGGGAAGCAGGCAGAUUGUGCGAUACGGACACCAACUGAUCAGGGUAUUUAUUUGCAUAGGUACGUGGCACACGGGGCAGGAUCCAUCUCCGAGCCCUAUGAAAUUGCUGUUACCCCAUCAGAGUGUCACACACAGAUUAUUGCCCAUCGGAACGUGGCUCUUCAAGUCCUAAAAAUAAUUUAACUCCGGGACUGUUUUUAUUCACUCCAGUCAAUGACAGAUGCACUGGAAUUCCUACAAAGCAGAAAUGGGAGCUGGAAGCCGAACCCAACUGCUUUUUUACCCCCUCUCUAUUUCUUUUUAAUGAGUAUUUCCCCCUUCCUUCCCCCAUUCUUCUUUCUGCCAGGUGUCCCAUUGACCCCUCCGAAUUUUGCAGCUCCCCUCUCCUCCUUUCCCCUCCAACCACUUCUCAUCACAAAACGCCGUACUUUUCCCUGAGAUUUGCCCUCCUCUCUCCCUUAGGACAAAUUCCCAUCUCAACAAAUCACCACCGGGUACGGCUGUGUUCAAUCCUAUGCUCAUGGGGUGAUAAAUGGCACCGUGGCAGUGUUAUAUGUGGGCGAGCAACCAGGUUUCCCUUCCAGCCCACCCUGUUUGGGGCAGGGGGACGUGCUGCUGCCCUGCCUUGUGCCUCCACGUCCCUGAGGGUCACCCAAAUGCCUAAAGGGUGAGCAGGGCCCACGGCAACCCUAUGGCUUCCCCAGAUCCCGCUCAUUUAUAUAUGUAUAGAUAUAUACAUAUUAUUUUUUUAAUUCUUAUUUUCGUAAUAGUUUGGUUUUAUUAUGACAACAUGUUUAAUAAGCAGCCCCGGGCUGGAGGGAGGAAUGCGGAGCUCCUUGCCGAGAUGUGAAUACCCUGCACUCGUGCUGCCUUGCCCCGUGCUUGCUGGAGCCCUGGUGAGCCCCAUGCAAAGCGCUCAGUGGUGCCAAGGGAGGGGGCCGUGCAUGCACUGUGAGCCCCCCAACCCCCACCCAGCCCCACAGAGGAACCCACAGCAAGCUGGGUUUGUUUGUCCUGGCUUUGGGCAGAGCUGCACGGUGGCAAAGCAGGAGAUACCCCAACCUGGAGCGACGUGAUAGCUUUUCUUCUUCUUUUCUUUUUCUUUUUUUAUUAUUAUUUUUUUUUGCAUUAUCCUGACUUCAUUUUUAAGCCUUUCUGUGAUUUCUGUUUCUCUCUAUUUGCACCCCCCUCACCACGAGGAUGCUCGGCAGCAAGGUUAAUUCCCUCCUGCUAUUUCCUUACCUAACCCUGUGGGCUCAGAUCCUCAAAAGUAUUUGUGUGCCUUCCUCCCUUGGAAAUCGGGGAGUUUAAUUGUCUGCUAAAAUUAUGGUGUUUUGUUUUGAAAGCAGAGCAGGAAAUAACCAACUUGGGGUUUUAUGAGCUUCGUUUGCCUCUCUGUGGUCACAGAGCACUUUUAUGAACCUUUCACAAAUAAAUUCAGGGGUAAAUAGCCCAGUGAGCAGAAUACAGAUGGGUUUGUAGAGUAUGACCAGAGAGAAAUGGGUGUUGAAGGAGGUGAGGGGAGAUGGGCUUGGCCUCCUCCGGUCCCCAUUGGCAAAAUACGGGUGAAACAACUGCACGGCACCAAAAAGAUGCUGGAAGGAAUAACCCAUUAAGGGCUGCGAGAUGCUGAGAUAGGAGAACGGUAGAGAUCGCAGCAGUGAGAUGCCAUCUAUUACAGACAACCAUCGUACAGCUGACUGCAUCUCCCUCUCUGGAAAUGGCUCCGUUCUUAGUUUCAUUUUUGGCCAUGCGACCCGAUAGGAGUCCUCUCCCUCCUCAGCGUUUGUCCCCUUCUGAUAUUUCAUGCAACACGGAGAAAGGAGGAAGCAGAAUGCCGUGACAUUGAGGUUUAUUGCUGAUUCUGCUCACGUCGGUUGAAAUCAGUCACUAAACCUCAGCCGGCAGAACCCCGUGCGCUGUGUUUUUCUUGCCUAGGUAAUCGCGAUGGCAGCAGGGGGAGGCACUUUUCAUCUCCGAGUGUUCGCGAGUGAAGCCAAACCAUGCAGCUCUGCUCUCGGGGCUGCAAUUACCAACACUGUGCACACGGAAAGCGAAGCUAGAGCAGCACCAGCCAUAGCCGGUCGCUUGGGGAACACGUCCUGCGAGACAAGUGCAUGUCCCUGUGAUGUAGCGAGCUGGGGAGGUGCUCCCCUCCAAGGGCACAAAGCAUGGAUGAAGCUGCCUGUGCUACAGCUCCUUGACCUUGGUGUUAGAACCAAUGGUUUCGUGCUGUUCACCUUCCGAGCCCUCCUGGUGCCUGGGCACUAAGAGCCCAUGGAAUGAGGAUGGCUCCUCAGUGGUGAAGAACAGGAGGACCAGGUGGGCCAAUGGCUUGGUCAACACAGCUCUGGGCCGACAUAUCCUUUUGGAAGCUGCCAACUUGCCAGCAUGGCUUCUGGUUUCUGACUGCCCACUGCAGGACUUCUUUGCACACAUGGUUGUUGCGCUUCUUCCAUGUGUGCAUUGAACCUCCUGCCCCCCGCCAGCUUAGGCCAACUCUCUGCCAGAACAUAGAAUGAUGGAAUCAUUCAGGUUGGAAAGACUGAUAAGAUCAUCUAGUCCGACCAUCAGCUCGUGUGUGUGACUGCUGUACACCAUGCCACUCAGUGCCACACCUCCAUGGUUCUUGAACAUCUCCAGGGAUGGUGACCCCCCACCUCCCUGGGCAGCUGUGCCACUGCAUCACCACUCUGAGAAGAAAUUUUUCCUACAGCACUGAAUGCUGUGAUUCAUAAGGGCUCUCCCAUUCUGCUUCUCCCCCUAGGAGGCUCGUGCUGUAUUAUCCAGCAUCUAAAGCUAAGUGGAGUGAAAGCCCAAAAUCUAAUUUUGAAAAUAAUAAUAAAAGAAGAUUUAAUCAUGUGUCAUCUGUGCUCUAUGCCACUCCGGUGAAUCAUAACCCUUCGUUACCAGCGAGUUUCAUGGUUUAGGAUCCCAGUGCCAGCACAGAAACCCUGAGCCCAGCAGAUCACCGCAGCUUUGACCUGCUGCAAGGAUUUGGUCACCUCCGUGUGUCUCAGCUCCCAGCUGACCCGGUGCUUCGCUCUUUUAUUGUCUGUGCACAAUCUCUCCCACCGUGCCAAGAGUUCUGUAUUCUUCAUUUCUCUUCCGUCUCUGAUGCCACAAAGUCAAGUGAAUGUCUUCAAGGAAAUCUCAGUAAUAAAACCUAUUUCCUCCUCCCUGCUGCAAAGAGAAAGCGGAGUAAUAGUUUCUUUAUCCAUUGGGGACCGGUUAAUGCCUCGCUCCUCAUCAUCACCAAAUGCAACUAAUAAAGGAGUAAAGGAGAUUUGGCAGUUUAAUGCAGCAGCUAAUUUUGUGCCUGCUGCUCUGCCAGAAAGUAUUUUCACUUUUGGGUGAUGCCAGAAUAGCAGAGCUGAUUAAUUAGCUUUCUCUUGAGCAGGAAGAGCUCAGUUAAGAUGCCUGCAGCCCCUGGACAACACAGGCAUUGGCCAACCUUGUUAGUAGCAGCGUUCCUGGUAUCUUGAGGGUUCAUUAAUCCUCGGCAGGUGAGCACCUUGAUAGAGGCAUUCUGACCCAUGUUCCUUUCCAGAGGCUUCAAGGCAAUGCCUUAAGAAUUUAUGGGACCAGGAUCUUAGUGAGUACAUCCACAGGCAGAGAAACUCUCUCCAAGCACUCAGCGGGUAAGAUCCAGCACAGCAACUCCCUUGGUCUUGGUUGGGCCUCUAUAGAUGCUGUGACAUAAUGAUAACACUGAGAAUUUCCCUCUCUCCAUUCCCACGUGUAUGGGGCUAACAAGGAGCAUGGAAAGUCAAAGGAACCUUUGGGAAAUGUGAGUCUUCUUUCUGCUGACCCUGCAGCAGAAGGUGGAUAACUGUUUUUUAUGAUCCAGUUAGGAUGGAUGGGUUAAUUACUGUCAUAGAAUCCUUCGAGAUAUUCACUGCAAUCACGUGGUGCUUUUAUAGUGA